Molecule: ribosomal RNA, 8109 nt
Filed under: Triticum aestivum (bread wheat)
Lineage: Eukaryota; Viridiplantae; Streptophyta; Magnoliopsida; Poales; Poaceae
Description: partial small subunit ribosomal RNA
Source: RNAcentral
AUGAUGCCUUCACGAAGGGACACGGCGCCAGGAGACGUCGUCAUCAUCGUUGCCGACGAGGUCGACAAUAGGCUUUCGCCCGAAGCAUCCCAGCCCGGCCGACUCCGCAAACGCCGGCCCCCGAGUCCGGCAGCGCUAGACCUUCCCCUCUCCUGCCAGUCCACGGCGAGCCUCCCCGCUUGGUCCAGCAAGAGUCAUCCGCAAACACAGCCGCUCACCUCGAGCACCUGCAUAGACAGAGUUGGUUCUGUCUCGGCUGCCACCUGCACCCAGCCCCUUACCGCCGGCCACAACACCACACCACCACACACCUACCCCGCCGACAGCAGCCACCACCGACCCCCCAGCCGCAACCAUGGAGUGCACCAGCCGUGGGAGCCACCGCCCCAGAGGGGUCCAGAUCUGGGCGAAGAGAGGCACCCAGACCAGGCAUGGCAGUCACCAGGGUCACUGCCACGGCCUGCUCCACCACGCUGUGCUGACCACCACACCCGCCUACGCCACCAGCCCCCAGUCGCGGCCGCGGGGACCGCCGGCCAAGGGAAACGGGCCGCCGUCCGAAGGGAGCUGGAUCUGGAGCUCCCCUGGGCAGAGCGGCGUCGGAUCCUUGGAGAUCCAGCUGCCCACGCCUCCGCGCCGCUCGCGCCGGCGCAUUGCGCGACCAUUGCCGGUGCGCGCCCCCGACCACCCGCGCCCGCCCGCGAGUCCCCGUCGCCGGCCAGCGUCCCGCGCCGCCACGCCUGGAGAAGAGGAGGGAGAGCCGUCCCCGCCGCCGCCGGCGCCGAGGGCUUUGCCCAGGGACGCCCUCCGGCGGCGGCGGGAGGAGGAGGGGGAGGCGAGGGUGGCUGUCGGCGUCGGCUGGGGUUUCUCCCGAGCCGCCCGCGAGAGCGACAUGGGAGUCCAAGUCUCUUUGCUUGUCCCGCGUUAUCCACCUCCUUCCAGAACGUGAAGAGCUUGACCACGGCGUCUGCUCGGCAGUCCAUCCUGAUGCAUCCUAGGAAGGUGUGUGUUGUGCAAUCGCAGUUCUGCAUAGCCGCACCGCCGACGUCGCUGCAGAUCGAGGAGCACGUAUACACCACAUUCAUUCGCCACGUGAGGCGUCUAUCCAUCGAUCCCGGCAGUCCGGCGGCCCCCAAGCGUGCAAGUCUCGUCGGAUUAGUUGUCUGUAUAGGCCCUAGAAUUACGGGGAAACUUGAACAGAUCCUUGAUGGAAAAACCGCUGGUUGCACACACCUGUCGUUAGUCGUUACGGAGCGAUUUUCAUCGCUGUACAUGCCAAGGGAUAUUGAGACCCAUGUGGCAAGGACGCGGCUUGCCUGCGGCCUUGGCGUGCGACCAUCGAUCCGCAUAUGCAGAAAAGCGCGCCAAAAUAUACUCCUAAAGGCGAGAGAGACCUACAACCUCGGCAGAACAAUCAAUGGCGGCUUGACCAGGGAAGCACAGGUAAAUUCUCCUCUUAAAUUGGGCAGCGAAGGAAUCCCGUCCCUGAUGUCUUCUUCGAGUCUCACGUCCCUGGUGGCUUCUCCAAGAAGUGGUCCGGGGAACCAGGAUGCUCCAGAUGAUUCUCAGUCACCAAAAGAUUCGCAACAAACCACGGCAGAUCACAGUGAUGAAAGGGUACCAAAGCUUGGCAUGACAUUUUUGUCUGAAGAGGAAGCUUAUUUAUUUUAUAACAAGUAUGCUGAAACUAUCGGUUUCAGCAUCAGAAGAAGUAGUGGCCAUAAAGUGAAGAACUCUUCUGUAUUGCAGCAACGCACAUUUACAUGCUCUCGUCAAGAUAAUCACUACAACUCACAGGCCACCAGCAAGAAGAUAAAAGAGAGGACACAUUCAGUUACAGCAUCACAUAACCACACUCUUGCUCAUGGAAUCAUGGCCCAGUACUUGAGAUCCCAGAGAGAAGUAACAGAAGCACAUAUAGCAAAUGCUGAGGUUGCAAAGUCAGCAGGCAUUUCAAAUAAAGCAACAUUCGAUUUGAUGGCCAAGGAAGCAUGUGGAAGUGAAAACCUUGGCUUUAUACGUGAUGAUUUGAAAAUUUGUUUGUACUCAAAGAGAACAAUAAAAGCAAAGAAUGGUGACACAGGGGGAGUAUUAGAGUACAUGGAGAAGAAGGUCUCAGAAGAUGUCAACUUCUUCUAUUCAAUUCAAGUUGAUGAAGAUGAGUUGAUAACUAAUAUUUUUUGGACUGACUCGAAAAUGGUAUCAGACUACGCAUUAUUCGGCGAUGUUAUAUGCUUUGACACCACAUACAGGAAACUAGAUGAUGGACGCCCAUUUGGUUUGAUUGUUGGGGUGAAUAAUCAUCAAAAAACUGUUGUCUUUGGCGCCGCACUUUUCUAUGAUGAAACUGCUGCAAGUUUUGCUUGGCUUUUCAGAACUUUCCUAAAAGUUAUGUCUGGGAAACAUCCACGUACAAUUCUCACCGAUGAAAAUGCAGCAAUGGCAAAGGCAAUCCGUAAAGUGUUCCCUCAUUCUCACCAUAGAAUUUGUGUGUGGCAUAUGAAUCAAAAUGCUUGCAAGCAUCUCGCUGGAGUUGUUGAUGAAUAUAAGAAAUUCAAUGUUGAUUUUCAACAUUGUAUAUAUGAUAUAGAAGAGGAAGAUGAAUUUGUAAGUGCAUGGAAUAAAAUGAUUGACAAGUAUGAACUAGGUGACAAUGCAUGGUUGCAAAGGCUAUUUGAGAAGAAAGAACAGUGGGCACUAGUAUAUGAUAAAAGAUGUGAAGAGGUGAAGUACGACUUUAAAGCAACACAAACUACUCCAAAGUUGAAGGCUGAAUCAAGCUAUAUGCUAACACAAGCUGCAGCUACAUAUGCUCCAGCAAUAUUCAAGAUAUUUCAAGAUCAAGUGCUUCGGACUCUGAACUACGACACAUUGCUUUGUGAUGAAAGUGACACAGAGUUAAAGAUUUAUGUAGUAAAAUUUCAUGGCACACAACGGAGCAUGUUGUUAGAUUCAUUCCAAAAGAAGAAAAGAUGGACAAUUGAUGCCAAAGUUCUAGAUAUAACAAGCAAAUGCAACCCGCAUGAGAACCUAAAAGCAAGAAUGUCCAAUCGCUACAAGGAACUGUGCAGAAUGUUCUUGAAAAUAGCUGCUCGUGCCGCUGAGUCAGAAGACUCAUACAAUAAGGCUGCUAAAUUUGCAGAGCAAUUAGCACAAGAUGUGGAGAAAUGCUUGAAGAUUAGAGCUGAUCCAGAUUUGGGAGACUCGUGUACUAAAGAAGUGGCAGCAGGAGUGAACAUCCCCUGUAGCAGAAUUUCAAAACACAAUGAUGGGCUUGCAAAGCCAAAAGGUAUGAAGGUCAAGGAGAAGACUAUCAAAGGAUCAAAAAGGCCCGUUGGUGGAUUUGAGAAAGCAACUUCAAAGAAGAAAAGGAACACAGAUGAUAUUGUACAACUAGAGCCUCAUGGCACCUCAAAGGCCCCUUUGGAGAAACCAACUUCAAAGAAUAAAAAGAACAAAAAAGAUAUUAUACAACUACAACCUCAUGGACUCUCAAUGGGUCCUUCGGAAUUUUUCGGUAGCCAAAUGGGUGCAUAUCAAUUACACUACAACACUAUCCUAAAUGCUUCAAUGCAACCAUCAAUUGAUAAUACCAUCCCGAUGCCACCGCAUACCCAACAACUGUUGGCGGCAUUCCAACCAUACAACACAACAGUGGGUCAUCCGACAGACCACAUGUCCACCUAUUUACAACAGCAGAACUCUGCUCAGCCAACACCUAUCCAAAAUGCUACAAUGCAGCCAUCAACUGGUCCGAGCUUCCCCAUGCAACCACAAACCCAAGCACCACACAACACUCCAGUGGGUCAUCCGACAAACCACAUGUCCACCUAUAUACAACAGCAUAACUCUGCUCAACCAACACCUAUCCUAAAUGCUAGAAUGCAACCAUCAACUGGUCCGAGCUUUCCGAUGCAACCACAAACCCAAGCACCACACAAUACUCUAGUGAGUCAUCCGACAAACCACAAGUACACCUUUUUACAACAGAAGAACUCUGCUCUAAAUCCCUGCCUGAUAGAAGCCAUUGGAGCCUCUAACUAUAGUUCGAUGACAGGAGGAAAUCAAGGCUUCCUUCUUCAACCGAAAGCGACAUCUAUUGUAAAUGCUACAAUGCAGCCAUCAGUUGGUCACACCAUCCUGAUGCCACCACAGACCCAAGACCCACACUAUACUCCAGUGGCUCCGCAUCUCAGACCAGCGAGGACGGCGCCGCGGAGGAUCCCGUCCCCACCGAACUGCUGUGCGACUAGGUCGAGCAGGCGGACCACGACGGAGGCCAGCCGAGCCAGGGAUGCUGAUUUAGUAGGCGGACCACGGUGGCGGCCAGCCGAGCCGGGGAUGCUGAUUCAGCAGGCGCACGCGGGCGGCGGCCACCCGGGAACCGGGAUGGGAGAAAAUCCGCAGCGGGAGGGGGCUCACGCACAGCCGUGCGAUGGCUGCGUCGCACUGAUGGUCGCACGCCUAGGCCGCAGGCAAGCCGCGUCCAUGUGGCAAGGACAUGAGAGGCUCUCGCGCUCGCGGCGGCGCCGCCCGAUCUACCGCCUCCGGCCUCCCAUGCUUCAGCUGAGACUGGAUCCGGGAUCCCCUCCACCUCCUCUCUCUCUCCUGCGAAGCUUUGCUCCAUCUGACGCCAUGCCUCCACGACCGUGCUCCAAGCCAGCGUCCGCGGCAUCGGCCAUGGAGGGAGCUCAGUCCGCCGAGCGCUCCCCAAGGCCCUCGCCGGCGGCGGCCUCCCCACCGCCGCCCUGCGUCCCGGCUGGCACGUUGCUGCCCGCAGGCUUCAGGCUGAGCGUCGUCCCGCCGUCACCGAGCAAGCUGCCAGCGCCUGCAUCCACGAUGCCGGCUGCUCCGUCAGGGUCAGCCACCUCCGCCGCAGUGCUGGCCGCGGUUGCCCUGGCCUCCCGCAAGGCUGCCCCGGCCGCUGGUGGCCAUUUGUCCCGCGUUGGGCUGCCUCCGAGGCUGGUUGUGGCUGCAUUUCCGACGGUGCAUAGCUCGGGGCUUCCCCAGGCCGGGUCCUCACCGCCUCCGCCGCUUGGGUGUCUCUCGUCCCCUGCCUCUGCUGACGCUGCUUCUGUCAGCGAUGCACCAUCAACCUCGACUGCUACUGUGGGCGCGCCAUCCCCGACUCCUGCCGGUGCUGCUACGUCCUACUUGACUCUUGUGGAAGCCUCGCCGACACCCCCGGCUGGUGCUGCUGAAGCGCCGCCCACAACCCCUGCUGCUGAAGCGCCACCCACAGCCACAACUCCUGCUGCUGAAGCGCUGUCCACGGCUCCUGUGGAAACGGCGCUCUCCUUUACUGACGGUGAAGAAGACGACGACGAUGAUAAUGAGCUAGCCCCACAGACGCCACCGCCGGCUACCAAAUCCUCGAUUUCGGCUGCUCGGCAGGACGUGGCGUGUGAUGCGGAUACAUGCGGAGGUUGGCAGAAGGUGCUCCCGCGGCGCCAUGUGCAACUCCAGGCGUCACAAGCCCCUGCUUUGGCUCCCCGUCCCGUCCCCGCUUGGCUUCAUGGUAGAUGUUGCAGAUGUCUCUUUCCUGGACACUGUGCAGCGGAUUGUCGAGAUCCUUUUAGAUGUUAUCGGUGCCUUGAGAACGGUCAUCGAUCGCGUGAGUGCCGCAAUGCCUGGCAUCCCCUUAGCUCCUUGGGAAGAGCUACUGUGUCGCCACUGCCCCGCCUCCCCGUCAAGCACCAACAAGCUCCAUCUCCAUACAAGGUCCAGAAAGAAGCCCCACCCCUCCCGAAGACAUUUUGUUGUGAUUCUUGGGCAUCGAUCGUUUCUGCUCCUGCUGGCUCAAUGGCCCCGACGGAUAUCUCGAUGCGGCCCACUUUGGAGAGGCAGGCCGAGCUGCUGCGCUCUGAGCUCCUUGGUAUGGCUUCCUUUCAACUUGAGAAAACGGUCCAGCCUCUGCGUGAUGUCGUUGAUUCUAUGAAAGGUUGGAUGUUGCGGAUGAAGAGCUUCAUGGAGCGAGCUGAGGCUGCACUGGGCGGGCUCUCCCUGGCGCCGCCUGUGUUGCGCCCUUUGGUUGUGCCCGAUGGCAACUUCGACGCUGAGAAGGGAGACGAGCUCCAUGAUCAUGCCCGAGCUUCGGAGUUGUGUGGGAGCCCGGUUUUGCCUUUGUGCGUCGAGCAACUGCAGGUAGACCCUCCCGAGAUCUCGAGUGUGGCUUUGCCACCAACAUCACUCCUGGAGUCGAGCCAGAUAGUUGAUGCUGAGGAGAGUAGUGAUUUGGACGGUGCGAUCUCUCGCUCGCCCAAGUCCAUUGGGCGUCAGGCGUUAGUCAUCGAGCGCGGAGUUUCAGAUGCUGUUGCCCUUCCCUCAUAUGCAACCAUCGAGCAGGUGAUGACUGUGAGUGGCAUGGCCAUUGAGCCAAGUGUGUUGGCACCUACUCCAACUCCAAAUUCAAAUGCUCUGUUUGCGAAGGAACUUUGUGACUUGCUCGCUAGCGUGGAGGUUGCUAGACCUGGUUUGGGCAGUCCUUCAAAAAACGCAUCACCCUUCAUCAUCCGCACGCAAGAUCCCCUUCAUCCUCCCCAGGCACGAGCGGGCGCACCCCCGCCGGCGGCGCCGCCGCCUUCCUCGUGGAGUCCGCGGCCAAAUUCCACGCCGGGAGCAGCGGUCUCCAUCUCUCCAACUCCUCCCUCUCCCUCAAGCCUCGACCUCCCCGGCAACCUUCCUCCCCUCCCAAGUCCAGGAGACGCAUGGGCGCGGCGGCGGCGAGGCCCCCUCACCAUGGCUAGGGUUUCGGGCGCCUCCAUACUGGCAUGGCUCCGGCGCCUCUGGCGGCUCCUCUCCGACGCCCACCACGCCCCCACACGCAGCUCCUUCUCUAGGAUGAUGCUCCUCCUCCCGGUGGCCAUGGGUUACGGGAUGCGCCGCCGCCACCAGCAUGGUCCCAACGGCCACCGUGAGUCUCCCCGGUCGACGUCCCCAUCCGUCUAUGCUCCGAGCUCGACGGUUCCAUCUAACAUACCAACAACCAUCUCCAAAUACACGAACUUGAAGAAUUUCUUAGUUUCAUACACACCUUCAGUACAAAGAGGAGAUAAAAGGAGUAUUGGAAAGCUUAAAACCAGCCCCCCGAAACCACUCUGGCUCGAGAAAGAAGAAAAUAUUUCACAUGAUCUGUCCGAUCUACUACAGGUAAUUUGGUCUUCUCUUGUGCACAACCAUCACAACCAAGCCGGGGAGUGCCAGAGGUCACAACUUGAAAUUUUUAACUGCAAUAUUUGUUGGUCAGUGUCCUCCUCUAAAAUUGUUCGUAAGUGCACAUCAGCAUCGUCUAAAUACAUAUGCCUCUGGGGUUUUCUUUUUGGUGGCAAAUUGAUUCUUGCAAUCAUAGCGGAAAGCCUGUACUGCUGCGUAGGAAAUUGCUGGGAGUGGGCGCUCCUAACAGUGUGCUGCGAGUCUCCACUCCCAUCGUUGCUUUCUUCGGCGAAUUUGACAGAAUCUUCGGCGGACAGCGGAUCACACCCAACACCGGUCACCGAGCAUUGGAGAUGCCCCAACAGUGAAAAUCGAGUUGAGGUUAGUGGAGAAGAGGACACCUUAGGGCAACUCAAGGGGCCGAUGCAUUUAGUCCGUCCACGUCCGUUUGGAUACGUGCGAACAAAAAACACGUCCCAAUGCGUCGAUGCAAAUAGAUGGAUGUCUGUUUUUGUUGUUCGCCUGGACCCAUUUUCAGCCCAAAUUUGGGUUGGAUUUGCGUCCGUGGGGACACGGCGUCGGGACGUCCUCCCCUGGCUUGUCGGUCGGUGGCACACAGAUCAUUCCCACCCAACUGUGUUCGCCCUCCCCGGCCUUCUCAUCCUCGCCGCCGCCGCCCGGCUUCCGGCCACUUCGCCACCUGCCCUAGCUGCCGCGGCAGCAUCCAUCGACGCCCCCACCCCGCCUCAUCCAUCGACUCCCCCACCGCCAUUGUUGUGGCCGCUUCUUGCCGCCAAUGGCGUAGCUUGCUGCCCAGGGUCGUCGACGUCCUCGGCUCACCACCGCCACCUCCACAGUCACCACCAAAGGACGCGGCGUUCGACGACCCUGAUACCUAAACGGGCCAAGGACGGGCCCCUUCACCGCCGAGACUCGUCCACGCCCGCUGAUGUCUAG